UACAUGUGGGGCAAGCGUUGUUCGGAAUUACUGGGCAUGAAGGGUGCGUAGGUGGUUUGUUAAGUCAGGGGUGAAAUCCCGCGGCCCAACCGUGGAACUGCCUUUGAUACUGGCGAACUUGAGUGCGUGAGGGGUAGGGGGAACGAGCAGUGUAGCGGUGAAAUGCGUAGAUAUUGCUCGGAAGGCCAGAGCCGAAGGGGCCCUACUGGUGCGCAACUGACACUGAGGCACGAAAGCGUGGGGAGCAAACAGG
RNAcentral lists this ribosomal RNA (253 nucleotides) under uncultured bacterium. RNAcentral describes it as "partial 16S ribosomal RNA". It matches the Rfam family "Bacterial small subunit ribosomal RNA", at positions 524 to 776 of the family's 1533-position model. The record is from RNAcentral.